UUUUUAUGGAGAGUUUGAUCCUGGCUCAGGACGAACGCUGGCGGCAUGCCUCACACAUGCA
Molecule: ribosomal RNA, 61 nt
Filed under: Anaerobranca gottschalkii DSM 13577
Lineage: Bacteria; Bacillati; Bacillota; Clostridia; Eubacteriales; Proteinivoracaceae
Description: 16S rRNA. Bacterial SSU
Source: RNAcentral